This 937-nucleotide long non-coding RNA is filed under the name Cricetulus griseus (Chinese hamster). Its description in RNAcentral is "lncRNA (ENSCGRG00015039432.1)". Lineage: Eukaryota; Metazoa; Chordata; Mammalia; Rodentia; Cricetidae. The record is from RNAcentral.
GGCAUGUACCUACCUUCCGCCAUGAAGCUCCCCACACUACAAUCUUGCCUCUCAGUAAAGAAGAGUUCUCCUCAAGGAAAAGAGAUAAUACAACCUGUUGAAUUUUUGUUUAAAUUAAAGAUAAAGAAGAAAAGAGGAGCACAAGAUGAGACAUAUUAACCAGUUUAUUAUAAGCCCAGCAUAUACUACACCUGGAUGACCCUGCCCCCUAACGACAGGCAGGGCAUGCACAGGAAAACCUGCUAUGUCAUCACCACAUCGCCUGCCUCAGUGUGCAUGCGAAGCCGCCUUCGUGAAGCCGCCUUCCCUUUAAAAGGUCCACCCCACCCCCCCCACCCCCCGCUCCUCUUGGGUUGGCUGACAAUCCAACCCCACCAACCCCCUCUUCUUGUAAAUAAACUCCAUGUGGGUUGUUCAUCAGUAGCUUCUUUUCUUUACACCCGCAGCUGCAGAGUAAAAGAAUAACACAAACCUUUGCCAAUUGCUGCCCCUGACCCCACCUCAGGCCUCUGGGGUACCUCUUCCUCUAAUUUUGCCAUUAUAUAAGCUGGUUACCUCCAGAUGGCCUGGCCAAGGUGGAGAAUGGCUCCUGGUUUGUAUAACAAUAGACCUAGGCCCUGGAUGGGCCUACACCUAUUCUGAGGUCUAGUGAAACGUGCCUUGUGCUGGAAGACUGGGGCCCUUGUGGAAUGUCUGAGGGUUUGUGUAUGUGCUUCUAGGAUUAAAGGAAAUACUUGAUAUCAGCUUUAUACAUGAUAAUAGAUGUCUUCUGCUAUCACCCCCACUGUUGGAAAGCUAUUUAAGAGGACGCUUGAAUAAACCGUGGACUCCAACAUGGACUGAGAACCCUCCUGAGAUGACAAGAUGUCUCUGUCUCAUCCUUAACGCAGUUGGGUAGCUAGGAGUUUCCCAAUCCACCCUCCCUCACUCACAGAUG